Molecule: ribosomal RNA, 334 nt
Filed under: Cyrtolophosis mucicola
Lineage: Eukaryota; Ciliophora; Colpodea; Cyrtolophosidida; Cyrtolophosididae
Description: SSU rRNA
Rfam family: Eukaryotic small subunit ribosomal RNA
Source: RNAcentral
AUAGCGUAUAUUAAAGUUGUUGCAGUUAAAAAGCUCGUAGUUGAAUUUCUGGCUAGCUGUAUGCUGUGGCUCUGCCCGGUAUAUGGUUUAGUCAUCCGUAAGGGAAGCCAGUUCGGCCUUCACUGGUCGGCUGGGGGAACUUACAAUUUACUGUGAGAAAAUUAGAGUGUUUAAGGCAGGCAAUCGCUUGGAUACUCCAGCACGGAAUAAUGGAAUAGGACUUUAGUCGAUUUGUUGGUUUGAGGCUAAAGUAAUGAUUAAUAGGGACAGUUGGGGGCAUUCGUAUUUAAUUGUCAGAGGUGAAAUUCUUGGAUUUAUUAAAGACGAACUUAUG